AUCCAGCGGACAAAUGCAGAAUAGGACGAAACGCGCGUCCUGGAU
This 45-nucleotide non-coding RNA is filed under the name Schistosoma mansoni. Lineage: Eukaryota; Metazoa; Platyhelminthes; Trematoda; Strigeidida; Schistosomatidae. The record is from RNAcentral.